CACGUGCCGUUUGGGGGGUGACUUUGCGCGCACCCGAAAGCGUCGAGCAAACAGGAGACUUUGUUUUCACCCAAACCUCGGGCGACCGCCGCUGAAACCACCAUCGCCGCGGCACUUUUCUCCCCUCCCAUCCCAUCCCCCCUUUCGAUUCCCCCAUGAUUUCCUCUCCAAUGCAAUAAAGAAAGAAGAUGCAACAGCGAAAGCGACUGGUGCGAAUCUGAGGUGAAUGGCGUCGUUGUUUCGACCGCUGAUGUCGAGGGAGGGGGGGCGGUCGUACCCCCGCGUCUUCCUCAGCCGGAAGUCCUCCUCGCGCUACGCGCUCGCCCUGAUGAUGCUUCUCGUGCUCUCCGUUGUCCUUCUUCUCCUCCUUGCCCUCGGCAUCUUCUCCCUCCCCGUCCGCUCCGACUCCGCCCCGAAGUCCCAGGCCGACCCUCGCCUCCGCUCCAGGUCCCUCCGCGACGUGGAGGGUUUGGGGCAGCUGGGGCACCAGUGGACGGAGGUAAUCUCGUGGGAGCCACGAGCAUUCGUCUACCACAACUUUUUGUCUAAGGAAGAGUGUGAAUAUCUUAUUGAGCUGGCGAGACCUCAUAUGCAGAAGUCAACAGUUGCUGAUAGUGCUACUGGUCAGAGUAAAGACAGCAGGGUUCGUACAAGCACAGGCAUGUUUCUGCAUAGGGGACAAGAUAAGACAAUCAGGGCCAUCGAGAAAAGGAUAGCAGAAUAUACCUUUAUUCCAAUAGAGCAUGGAGAGGGGCUUCAAGUUCUGCAUUAUGAAGUUGGACAAAAGUAUGAACCCCACUUUGACUAUUUCCUUGAUGAAUAUAACGCUAAGAAUGGGGGUCAGAGGAUAGCUACUCUUCUGAUGUAUUUAUCAGAUGUUGAAGAAGGUGGGGAGACAAUUUUUCCCGAUGCCAAAAUAAGCAGCAGAUCAUUAUCAUGGUCCAAUGAGUUAUCUAAAUGUGGAGAGAAAGGUCUUUCUAUUAAGCCAAAGAUGGGAGAUGCAUUGCUUUUCUGGAGCAUGAAACCUGAUGCUUCUUUAGACCCUUUAAGUUUACAUGGUGGAUGCCCUGUGAUAAAGGGAAAUAAGUGGUCUUGUACAAAGUGGAUGCAUGUCCAUGAGUACAAAGUUUAAUUUAAAGAUAUGCCUUUUGAAACUGAGCGGUGACCAAUGUUUCAAUAUGUUUCCUUCAUCCUGGACUCUUUAUUGUUGGAAAUCUGGUGCUGAUUACCGUUCAAAUCGUCUACAUUUCCAAUGGUUCAAUGACAAUUUGUCAGCUCCACACAGCCUAAUCAGACUAAAACAUUCUUCGGUUGUACGAGCAGCCAGCAGCAGUGUUCAUACACUAAGCAUAGAAUAAGCAGCUCUCUUUCUACUUACAAUUAACAUCCAGUCUGGUAGUUUUGUUAACGUAGUUAUGAAAUUUGCAAUCCAUCUGUAAAAUGAACUCAUUUUGCUCGAGCAUUUACGAUUGUGAUGUGUUAUUGUAAUUUUCUUCGAAAACAUAGAUGAAGUGGUUCUCUUUCAGCGAA
Molecule: non-coding RNA, 1530 nt
Organism: Musa acuminata subsp. malaccensis (wild Malaysian banana)
Lineage: Eukaryota; Viridiplantae; Streptophyta; Magnoliopsida; Zingiberales; Musaceae
Source: RefSeq, a predicted model, not a curated record